CAAAGAGUAGUUUAGACAAAGAAUGCUAGCUUUGGGAGUUAGUGGUGGCGGUUUGAGUCCGCUCUCUUUGA
Molecule: transfer RNA, 71 nt
Filed under: Sillago ingenuua (bay sillago)
Lineage: Eukaryota; Metazoa; Chordata; Actinopteri; Sillaginidae
Description: tRNA-Pro
Rfam family: tRNA
About the family: Transfer RNA (tRNA) molecules are approximately 80 nucleotides in length. Their secondary structure includes four short double-helical elements and three loops (D, anti-codon, and T loops). Further hydrogen bonds mediate the characteristic L-shaped molecular structure. tRNAs have two regions of fundamental functional importance: the anti-codon, which is responsible for specific mRNA codon recognition, and the 3' end, to which the tRNAs corresponding amino acid is attached (by aminoacyl-tRNA synthetases). tRNAs cope with the degeneracy of the genetic code in two manners: having more than one tRNA (with a specific anti-codon) for a particular amino acid; and 'wobble' base-pairing, i.e. permitting non-standard base-pairing at the 3rd anti-codon position.
Source: RNAcentral